UACGUAGGGGGCAAGCGUUGUCCGGAAUCAUUGGGCGUAAAGAGCGUGUAGGCGGCCAGAUAAGUCCGCUGUGAAAACUCGAGGCUCAACUUCGAGCUGUCGGUGGAAACUAUCUGGCUAGAGUCCGGAAGAGGAGAGUGGAAUUCCUGGUGUAGCGGUGAAAUGCGCAGAUAUCAGGAAGAACACCCGUGGCGAAGGCGGCUCUCUGGUACGGAACUGACGCUGAGACGCGAAAGCGUGGGGAGCGAACAGG
RNAcentral lists this ribosomal RNA (253 nucleotides) under uncultured bacterium. RNAcentral's name for it is "partial 16S ribosomal RNA". It matches the Rfam family "Bacterial small subunit ribosomal RNA", at positions 524 to 776 of the family's 1533-position model. RNAcentral also lists the same sequence under 1 other name. The record is from RNAcentral.